UCCCUGGUGGUCCAAUGGUUAGAACUCUGCCUUCCAGUGCAGGGGUCCAGGUUUGAUACCUGGUCAGGGAA
Molecule: transfer RNA, 71 nt
Filed under: Ovis aries (sheep)
Lineage: Eukaryota; Metazoa; Chordata; Mammalia; Artiodactyla; Bovidae
Rfam family: tRNA
About the family: Transfer RNA (tRNA) molecules are approximately 80 nucleotides in length. Their secondary structure includes four short double-helical elements and three loops (D, anti-codon, and T loops). Further hydrogen bonds mediate the characteristic L-shaped molecular structure. tRNAs have two regions of fundamental functional importance: the anti-codon, which is responsible for specific mRNA codon recognition, and the 3' end, to which the tRNAs corresponding amino acid is attached (by aminoacyl-tRNA synthetases). tRNAs cope with the degeneracy of the genetic code in two manners: having more than one tRNA (with a specific anti-codon) for a particular amino acid; and 'wobble' base-pairing, i.e. permitting non-standard base-pairing at the 3rd anti-codon position.
Source: Rfam by way of RNAcentral